CGUGUAGGCGGCUUUGCAAGUUGGGUGUGAAAGCCCUCGGCUUAACCGAGGAAGGGCGCCCAAAACUGCAGAGCUUGAGUACCGGAGAGGAUGGUGGAAUUCCCCAAGUAGAGGUGAAAUUCGUAGAUAUGGGGAGGAACACCGGUGGCGAAGGCGACCAUCUGGACGGAUACUGACGCUGAGACGCGAAAGCGUGGGUAGCAAACA
Molecule: ribosomal RNA, 207 nt
Filed under: uncultured delta proteobacterium
Lineage: Bacteria; Deltaproteobacteria
Description: partial 16S ribosomal RNA
Rfam family: Bacterial small subunit ribosomal RNA
Source: RNAcentral